This is a long non-coding RNA of Asterias rubens (European starfish), 269 nucleotides long. RefSeq lists it as uncharacterized. The transcript is spliced from 3 exons. The record is from RefSeq and is a predicted model, not a curated record. NCBI's taxonomy places the organism in Eukaryota, Metazoa, Echinodermata, Asteroidea, Forcipulatida, Asteriidae.
ACUUCAAAGAGCGAUGGCCAGUCUUGUUUACAAACUCGCAGAUUUGCGCUGAGUUUAAACGAAUAACAACUGUCCCUUUGAUGGCAACGUACACAUCGAAAGUGGACAAACACACACCGAAGCUACUGAACCUUUUCCGUGCAAAAGGAGGUGUCAAAGGAAAGAAAAUUAAGACAUUCCUUGAUUGUUUAGACCAGAACAACAGCAUACACAUCCGACGGGAGGUAGUGAUCAAAGGCCUCUGUGAGUUCCUGAACGAGGACUGCGAA